RNAcentral lists this non-coding RNA (26 nucleotides) under Mus musculus (house mouse). The record is from RNAcentral. Lineage: Eukaryota; Metazoa; Chordata; Mammalia; Rodentia; Muridae.
UGUGGUGAGUGCUCAAGUGGUCCCCA